This 556-nucleotide ribosomal RNA is filed under the name uncultured bacterium. Its description in RNAcentral is "bacterial SSU rRNA". It matches the Rfam family "Bacterial small subunit ribosomal RNA", at positions 8 to 571 of the family's 1533-position model. The record is from RNAcentral.
AGAGUUUGAUCAUGGCUCAGGAUGAACGCUAGCUACAGGCUUAACACAUGCAAGUCGAGGGGCAUCAGUUUGGUUUGCUUGCAAACCAAAGCUGGCGACCGGCGCACAGGUGAGUAACACGUAUCCAACCUGCCUCAUACUCGGGGAUAGCCUUUCGAAAGAAAGAUUAAUAUCCGAUAGCAUAUAUUUCCCGCAUGGGUUUUAUAUUAAAGAAAUUCGGUAUGAGAUGGGGAUGCGUUCCAUUAGUUUGUUGGUGGGGUAACGGCCUACCAAGUCGACGAUCAGUAGCCGGACUGAGAGGUUGAACGGCCACAUUGGGACUGAGAUACGGCCCAGACUCCUACGGGAGGCAGCAGUCGGGAAUAUUGCGCAAUGGAGGAAACUCUGACGCAGUGACGCCGCGUAUAGGAAGAAGGUUUUCGGAUUGUAAACUAUUGUCGUUAGGGAAGAUACAAGACAGUACCUAAGGAGGAAGCUCCGGCUAACUACGUGCCAGCAGCCGCGGUAAUACGUAGGGAGCAAGCGUUAUCCGGAUUUAUUGGGUGUAAAGGGUGCG